GAGUUUGACGUGGCUCAGAGCGAACGCUGGCGGCAGGCCUAACACAUGCAAGUCGAACGAACUCUUCGGAGUUAGUGGCGGACGGGUGAGUAACACGUGGGAACGUGCCUUUUGGUUCGGAAUAACUCAGGGAAACUUGUGCUAAUACCGAAUGUGCCCUUCGGGGAAGAUUUAUCGCCAUUAGAGCGGCCCGCGUCUGAUUAGCUAGUUGGUGAGGUAAAGGCUCACCAAGGCGACGAUCAGUAGCUGGUCUGAGAGGAUGAUCAGCCACAUUGGGACUGAGACACGGCCCAAACUCCUACGGGAGGCAGCAGUGGGGAAUCUUGCGCAAUGGGCGAAAGCCUGACGCAGCCAUGCCGCGUGAAUGAUGAAGGUCUUAGGAUUGUAAAAUUCUUUCACCGGGGACGAUAAUGACGGUACCCGGAGAAGAAGCCCCGGCUAACUUCGUGCCAGCCGCCGCCGUAAC
RNAcentral lists this ribosomal RNA (466 nucleotides) under uncultured microorganism. RNAcentral's name for it is "bacterial SSU rRNA". It matches the Rfam family "Bacterial small subunit ribosomal RNA", at positions 9 to 524 of the family's 1533-position model. The record is from RNAcentral.